UAAAGCGACUAACAGUAAUUUCAACCAAUGCAAAUAAUACACACUUGACCACUAACACACACUGCCAACCCCAAAUGUUGAGUGUGGAAGUAAUUGUCUGGUCACUGUUUGCAACGGGACGGCGCCCCUGCCUGCCUGGCGAGCCGCUGCACCUCAGAUGUUUCCUGGGACUGGGUGGCGCGUGGACAAGUGUGUGCCUUGACUCGUGUGUGGGGGUGACUGUGGUGAUUAGUGACUCUCUGCUGAUUAAUUACUGGUGGUACUCUUAUUCUGCGUAUCUCAGGACAUCAGUAACUUAGCUGUGUGUGUGUGUCGCAAAAUGACAUACACGUAAUCCACUACAUCAUUGAAGUGUCCUUAACUACGCUUCAAAACAACUGACCCCUCGGAGUAACGAGGUGGUGUCGUCUCUCAUUAGCACAUUAGAGCCACGCGUCUCCUCUCCGACCAGUCCUCGCCCCUGGAGUUCUCGGCGCCCCGCUACUGUGCCGCCCUGCCCGAGGACAGCCCCUUGGCGGCCGUGGUAGGCACCCUCACCGCCACACACACGCAUGGCGCUGAGAUCAAGUACAGCAUCACGGGCGGCAACGUUGGGGGCCUCUUCACCAUCGACCAGCGCUCCGGCACCGUUACGCUGGCCGUCGCCCUGGACCACGAGCUCACUCACCAGCACCAGUUGGAGGUCACGGCGGAGGCAGGAGGAGCUGCAGCCCGCGCCCAGCUGGUGGUGCAGGUCGGGGACGUCAAUGACAACGCCCCUGAGUUCGUACGUCCCGCCCCGCGCAUCACGGUUAUUGAGGAGGAUGACAGGGACUUGCCCGCCACUAUUGCCAGAGAGGACGAACCACUCCAAUGGACGAGCUGGUCGUCACGCGAAGGCAGCACCGCCAAGCAACCAUAGGGAUAGAGGACUCAGCCGCCGCACUGAAGAACGUGGAGAGAGAAGCGAUUUGUCCACUCAC
Scylla paramamosain (green mud crab) is the source of this 962-nucleotide long non-coding RNA. RefSeq lists it as uncharacterized. The record is from RefSeq and is a predicted model, not a curated record. NCBI's taxonomy places the organism in Eukaryota, Metazoa, Arthropoda, Malacostraca, Decapoda, Portunidae. The transcript has 5 exons.